RNAcentral lists this ribosomal RNA (322 nucleotides) under Pholidoscelis auberi (Auber's ameiva). Its description in RNAcentral is "partial 12S ribosomal RNA". It matches the Rfam family "Bacterial small subunit ribosomal RNA", at positions 863 to 1342 of the family's 1533-position model. The record is from RNAcentral. Lineage: Eukaryota; Metazoa; Chordata; Lepidosauria; Squamata; Teiidae.
ACUUGUCCGCCAGAGGAUUACGGGUGAAAACCUAAAACUCAAAAGACUUGACGGUGUCCCAAUUCUACCUAGAGGAGCCUGUUUCAUAAUCGAUAACCCCCGCUCCACCCAACCUCUUCUUGAAAUCCUUCAGCCUAUAUACCGCCGUCCUUCUUCCGCUUACCUUUUGAAAGACAAACAGUAAGCCCAAUAGUUUCAACAACUAAAAAGUCAGGUCAAGGUGUAGCUUAUGAAGAGGAGAAAAUGGGCUACAUUUUCUAUUAUAGAACACCUACGGAAAGUAUUCUGAAAUAAAAUACACAAAGGCGGAUUUAGUAGUAAG